GAAUAUGCCAAUUUGAAUAAGUCUCAUUUUCAUCUGAGACCAAUUAAAGUCGGUUCAAUGUAGCUUUGUCAUUCCACAAGUAUCAUAACCAACAACGCCCACCUCCAUUUCUGUAGAGUUUGGGGCAGCAGUCUCCAGUCCGAAUGCAUCGCCAUAAACAUCAUCAGAUGUAGUUCAGAUAUUCCAGUCCCGGCAGAGCAAGCAGCGCUCCCAACAGGUUUUGGCACGCAGGCCCCAAGUUAACAAAGGGUUUAGGCACACAGACGGCAGACCCCAAGUAUAGCCAUAUCAGACUGCUACACCAUGGUCAUGGUUCAUACUAAAAAAAAGGAAACCCAGAGAAAGCACCUCUGAGAACUGUAAUACUGCCGGCACAGACGCUAAGUGGUGUAGAUGACCAGCGAUUACCUUCUGACGCGCGCCAGGAUCAGUGGUCGUCGGUAUGGGUAUCCGACGGCGGCUGAUGGCCUUCAGCUUGAGGACGUGACCGAGAUCCCUAGUUAUUGGCCAUGUUUGGCACAGCUGCUACUUGUUGAAAAAGCAGCUUAUCUGAUAAGCUGGUGAAAAGCAGCUUCUGCUUGUUGGCUGCUUUUAGUGUAUUCUGAGAAACAGCUGAACUGAUAAGCUGUUGCAGAAGCUAGCUGUUUGGCAGAACUUCUGCUUAAAUUUGUGAAGAAGCUGAAAAUAAGCUGUGCCAAACAGGGCCAUUGGGUCAGCUACACGCUACUUAUUAUUGAGUUUUUUUUGUUUUGCUAUUAUAAACCUCAUUACAUGCACCUUCGAUGUAAUAGCAUUCAUAAUUUAGGCUUCAAUAUAACAGCAGGCUCUACCACGUCAUACCGUCGAAAUACCGUCCAAAUAGAAUUAUGGGCUUUUUCGGCCACGUGUCAGAAAAGGGCUCGGACAGUGCGACGCAGUAGAGGCUGAUAUAUCGAAGUCCAAAUUAUGAAUGCUAUUACAUCAAAGACGCUUAUAAUGAGGUUUAUAGUAGCUAUAAACUCCUUAUUAUCUGUUGAAGAAACUCCAUCUGACGGGUGCGAGUGCUAGAAUUGUAUGAGAAAAGAAACGGAUCGUGUCAGAUGGAAACGGAUGGCCCGAGCAAAGUGGCCAAGUUGGCGAUGCGCGGUGUAGAGAUAGCGAGUUUAUAUAUAUAAAAGGAAAUCUCCAUUAAUUUCGUGCCAUGACCGUGCGUCUCAUGAUAAAUACAUAGAUCUAUUUUUUGCCCCCGUUUUUCAUCUAUAGAUAGGAUAUAAGAAACCACUAAAAAUCAAUACGAUAAGAACCAUACCACGCA
Molecule: long non-coding RNA, 1294 nt
Filed under: Zea mays
Lineage: Eukaryota; Viridiplantae; Streptophyta; Magnoliopsida; Poales; Poaceae
Description: drought responsive lncRNA
Source: RNAcentral